RNAcentral lists this ribosomal RNA (473 nucleotides) under uncultured bacterium. RNAcentral describes it as "bacterial SSU rRNA". It matches the Rfam family "Bacterial small subunit ribosomal RNA", at positions 335 to 801 of the family's 1533-position model. The record is from RNAcentral.
ACUCCUACGGGAGGCAGCAGUAGGGAAUCUUCCGCAAUGGGCGCAAGCCUGAUGGAGCAACACCGCGUGAGUGAAGAAGGGUUUCGGCUCGUAAAGCUCUGUUGUUAAAGAAGAACACGUAUGAGAGUAACUGUUCAUACGUUGACGGUAUUUAACCAGAAAGUCACGGCUAACUACGUGCCAGCAGCCGCGGUAAUACGUAGGUGGCAAGCGUUAUCCGGAUUUAUUGGGCGUAAAGAGAGUGCAGGCGGUUUUCUAAGUCUGAUGUGAAAGCCUUCGGCUUAACCGGAGAAGUGCAUCGGAAACUGGAUAACUUGAGUGCAGAAGAGGGUAGUGGAACUCCAUGUGUAGCGGUGGAAUGCGUAGAUAUAUGGAAGAACACCAGUGGCGAAGGCGGCUACCUGGUCUGCAACUGACGCUGAGACUCGAAAGCAUGGGUAGCGAACAGGAUUAGAUACCCUGGUAGGAUAGCG